This 752-nucleotide ribosomal RNA is filed under the name Leptestheria compleximanus. Its description in RNAcentral is "partial large subunit ribosomal RNA". It matches the Rfam family "Eukaryotic large subunit ribosomal RNA", at positions 156 to 752 of the family's 3401-position model. The record is from RNAcentral. Lineage: Eukaryota; Metazoa; Arthropoda; Branchiopoda; Diplostraca; Leptestheriidae.
GGAGGACCGUGCGCGCCUGUCCGGUAUCGUCCAAGUCUCCAUGAAUGGGGCCAGCAACCCAGAGAGGGUGUCAGGCCCGUGGGACGAGCCGCGACCGUAGCAUUGGGUCUCUCCUUAGAGUCGGGUUGCUUGAGAGUGCAGCCCUAAGCGGGAGGUAAACUCCUUCUAAGGCUAAAUACGGCCACGAGACCGAUAGCGAACAAGUACCGCGAGGGAAAGUUGAAAAGAACUUUGAAGAGAGAGUUCAAUAGUGCGUGAAACCGUUCAGGGGGUUAAACGGGUGGGCCCUCGAAGGUCGAAAGGUCCCCACUCCCGUCAUCUGUAGGCCGGCUCGUGCUGCUUCCGAUGCCGCUAUGGCACGGGGCUAUGGUGCGGUUGGCCGGUCUACGGGGGCCGCAAGUUGGGGACCCAGUAGGACUCCGCAACCGUCUGGGAGGCCGUCAGAAGGGUUCUGGUAGGAAGCCUCCUCGUGGGGUGGACUCCGGGAUUUUCCGGGCGGUCCUCUCGGCCGUAAACCUGAAUUUCUCCCGCCGGCGUCCGGGGACGAGCUCCUUUCACGAGGGGCUGUCGGUUCUCGGUGUCGGACGCGGGGGAUUCCGCGGAGAGUAGAGUCGGGUCCCACCCGACCCGUCUUGAACACGGACCAAGGAGUCUAACAUGUGCGCGAGUCGUCGGGUUUUUGACUAACCCGAAGGCGCAAUGAAAGUGAAGACCGUCCUCGUUGGCGUGUCUAGGGGAGAUCCCGUCCUGCU